UCAUAGAGCUCCCUGGACACUGAACCUCG
Molecule: non-coding RNA, 29 nt
Filed under: Homo sapiens (human)
Lineage: Eukaryota; Metazoa; Chordata; Mammalia; Primates; Hominidae
Source: RNAcentral